ACGAACGCUGGCGGCGUGCCUAACACAUGCAAGUCGGACGGGCCGGCGCGGAGCACCGGGAUUUCAAACCUCAAAUUUCAAAUUUGAAAUUCCGAUGCUUCGCAUCGGUUAGUGGCGGACGGGUGAGUAACACGUAGGCAACCUACCCCUGAGCGGGGGACAACCCAGGGAAACUUGGGCUAAUACCGCAUAAGACCACGAACUGGGAUGUUAGUGGUAAAAGCAGCAAUGCACUUGGGGAUGGGCCUGCGGCCUAUCAGGUAGUUGGCGGGGUAAAGGCCCACCAAGCCGAAGACGGGUAGCCG
This 305-nucleotide ribosomal RNA is filed under the name uncultured bacterium. RNAcentral describes it as "bacterial SSU rRNA". It matches the Rfam family "Bacterial small subunit ribosomal RNA", at positions 29 to 289 of the family's 1533-position model. The record is from RNAcentral.